GCGGCGUGCUUACACAUGCAAGUCGAACGAUGAACCACUUCGGUGGGGAUUAGUGGCGAACGGGUGAGUAACACGUGGGCAAUCUGCCCUGCACUCUGGGACAAGCCCUGGAAACGGGGUCUAAUACCGGAUAUUGACCUUCACGGGCAUCUGUGAGGUUCGAAAGCUCCGGCGGUGCAGGAUGAGCCCGCGGCCUAUCAGCUUGUUGGUGAGGUAAUGGCUCACCAAGGCGACGACGGGUAGCCGGCCUGAGAGGGCGACCGGCCACACUGGGACUGAGACACGGCCCAGACUCCUACGGGAGGCAGCAGUGGGGAAUAUUGCACAAUGGGCGAAAGCCUGAUGCAGCGACGCCGCGUGAGGGAUGACGGCCUUCGGGUUGUAAACCUCUUUCAGCAGGGAAGAAGCGAAAGUGACGGUACCUGCAGAAGAAGCGCCGGCUAACUACGUGCCAGCAGCCGCGGUAAUACGUAGGGCGCAAGCGUUGUCCGGAAUUAUUGGGCGUAAAGAGCUCGUAGGCGGCUUGUCACGUCGGUUGUGAAAGCCCGGGGCUUAACCCCGGGUCUGCAGUCGAUACGGGCAGGCUAGAGUUCGGUAGGGGAGAUCGGAAUUCCUGGUGUAGCGGUGAAAUGCGCAGAUAUCAGGAGGAACACCGGUGGCGAAGGCGGAUCUCUGGGCCGAUACUGACGCUGAGGAGCGAAAGCGUGGGGAGCGAACAGGAUUAGAUACCCUGGUAGUCCACGCCGUAAACGGUGGGCACUAGGUGUGGGCAACAUUCCACGUUGUCCGUGCCGCAGCUA
This 800-nucleotide ribosomal RNA is filed under the name Streptomyces sp. D217. RNAcentral describes it as "bacterial SSU rRNA". It matches the Rfam family "Bacterial small subunit ribosomal RNA", at positions 39 to 854 of the family's 1533-position model. Lineage: Bacteria; Bacillati; Actinomycetota; Actinomycetes; Kitasatosporales; Streptomycetaceae. The record is from RNAcentral.